Long non-coding RNA from Pan troglodytes (chimpanzee), 3732 nucleotides. RefSeq lists it as uncharacterized. The record is from RefSeq and is a predicted model, not a curated record. The transcript is spliced from 3 exons. NCBI's taxonomy places the organism in Eukaryota, Metazoa, Chordata, Mammalia, Primates, Hominidae.
GAACGGAAUGACAUUAGACUGAGACACGGAAGAGCCGCAGGAUCUAUCGCUGGGGAAGAGCAUUCCAGACAGGGAGGAACUCGUGCCGAAUGAUCCCGCUGUGGACAGGUUGAGAGCAGAAUUUUAAUAGGCAAAAGAAAGAGAAGAGCUCUCUGCUGCAGACAGGAGUCCUGGAGAAAUGGGUUGCCCUCUUUUUUCUUUUUCUUUUUUUGAGACAGUCUCUCACUGUCACCCAGGCUGGAAUUCAGUGGCGCAUUCGUACCUCGCUGCAGCCUCAACCUCCUAGGCUCAAUCGAUCCUCCCACCUCAGCCUCCCGAGUAGCUGGGACUAUAGAUAUUUAACCAUUUUUCUAUUGAGAUUUGGUCUUCUCCACCCCCCACCACAGAUUUUUGUAAUUAGAGGGCACUUUUCCAAACAAAUGAUUCUUAAGGUACUGCUGUCUCUGAAUAUUAUUUUUAUAGAACAAGCAUAAGUAUAAUUGGAUCAAUCAUCUAACCUUUCAGAUCCUCAACUUAGUCUUCCAUUAAUGAGAGGAUUAAAUCCAUUAGUUAAAUGUUCUCUAAGAAUCAGUGUGUCUCCAACUUCAGUGUACAAACAGCAGCUCACCCAGGGAUCGCAGUGGGACGCAGACGCUGAUUCCGCAGUUGUGGACUUGGUGGAGGUGGGCGCUGUCUCAGUCCAUCUGGGCCGCUAUACAGAGUGCCACAGACAGAGUGGCUUAGGGACAACAGACGCUCAUUUCUCACUCUCUGGAGACUGGAAGCCCAAGAUCAAGGUGGCAGAAAAUGCCGUGUCUGAAGAGGAACUGUUUCCUUGUUCACAGCCUCUUCUCACUGUGUCCUUGCAGAAGGGCUGAGGGAGCUCUCCAGGGGCCUCCUUCAUAAGGGCACUCAUGCCAUCGUGGGACUCCACUCUCACGACCUCAUCACCACCCAAAGACCAUCACUUUGGGGGUUAGGAUUUAACAUGUGCACUUUGUGGGGACACACACAUUCAGUCCACAGCAGCUCCAAUAUGUUGCAUUCCUAAUUAGCUCACAGGCAAUGCUGAUGAUACUGGUCCAGGGACCACACUUCGAGUAGAAACAAACCAGAUAGCCACAAAGAGGAAUUAAUAGAUGUAGCAUUAAGGAAGAAAGAUUCCUUCCAGUGCCAAGGAAACUCAUCACAGUACCUCCAAUACCGUGUCAUCCUGGAGGAACCACAAGACCCUGGAUAGUUGGCCCAGGACAGAAUACUGCUCGGGGUUUGGAGGGUGGCAGUUAAAAAGCCAAGAUCUGUUUACCUGUUAAAAUAUAUAUUAUUUUCUUUACUAAAAAUAUAUAUUAUAUAUAUAAUUUCUUCUCUAUUAUGUAGGAUCCUGUGCCUGGAAUGUAUAAUCUCUGUGCUGCAGAAAGCCUAGAGGUCAGAUAGGUGAGGGAGGCCACAGGCUUCAAAGUGAUUCUUCCCCUCCGAAUCUUAAUAACGGAGUGACAGAAGGAAAGUUACUAAUGAGUCCUUGCAUGUGAGAUGAAGUUAUGGACCUGUCUGCUUGAUCAAGAAUUAAUGGAUUGCAUUUAACAGAAGGUCCUUUCUCUCCCCUCCACUUACAGCUGGCAGAGCCUUUAUUAUUAUCAUCGUCCGUGGACCAGUGCAAGUGAGAUGAAUGUGCAAGGCUGUAAUGAGAGUGAACUCCUGGGUUAGCACACGCUUCACUGAAGCAAGGUCACAGGCUUGCUCUGUAAAGUCAAGACCACUUUUCCUGUAUGGCAGUAAACCAUCUCUAGACAUGGGCGACCUGAGAGAACAGAAUUGGAGCAAUGCAGCAGAUGCACACAACCAGCAAACGUAGAGCUGGAAUCCGAAGUCGAUGCCUGUGAACGUCCCAGCUCAGAGAGAGGCGGUGAGCAGGAGAGGACUGGGUGAAAAUGGUUCGCACACACACCUUUGUCUUCAUCAUUUAGUCCUCCAGGGUGUCACAUGGACGACGCCACUUGACCUCCACAGCAAUUCUGUGGCGUUUGUGCACCAGAAACUUUAUCCCUGUUUUGCCAGCGAGGAAACUUAGGUUUGGAACGGGUAGAUCACCACACAAAGCCUUACUAUAAAGAGCGCCAGGCCUCAAACUUUUGCUGGCAUUGUCCUUCGCAGUUUACUUUAGGGCCUGUCAUUUACUGGGGUGAAACACAAAAGUUCCUUGUCCCCGAAAGACUGCAAUUAAAGUGCCAUUAGCACAGUAAUGUACCAACCAGUCGUUCCUUGGGCCGCAAGGGGGCAUGUCUACUGCUACUCAGUCUCAGUGGGUAAGCUGGAGAGUCCUCCCACAAUGAGCAGAUUCCGAGGCGGGUGUGUACAUGGAAGGACUCACAGGGGUUGGGGAGGCAGCAGUGGCGUUCUGUCUGAGCCUGUUUGUGUUGCUAUAAAGGAAUACUCAAGGCUGGGUAACUUAUGAAGAAAAGAGGUUUAUUUGGCUCAAGGUUCUGCAGGCUGUACAAGAAACAUGGCGCCAGCAUCUGCUUCUGGUGAGGCCCUCAGGGAGCUUCCACUCAUGGCAGAAGGGGAAGGGGAGCUGGCAUCAGAUGGCAAGAGAGGAAGGAAGAGAGGAAUGCGGGAGGUGCCAGGCUCGUUUCAACAUCAGCUCUGGCAAAAACUAACAGAGCAAGAACUCACUCCUUCCCGAGGGGACAAGAGGAUGGCACCAAGAGGCACAUGACCCCAAGACUCCCAGUAGGCUCCACCACCAACACCAGGAAUCAGAUUUCAACAUAAGAUUUGGAGGGACCAGGUAUCCAAUCUAUCCAUCCACUCCAAGCAUCCAUUUGAUACCCAGAAUGCAUUAUUUCAGCACCCGUAUCCAUUCAACAAAACUAUUUUAAAUUAUAAUCAUGUAAUAGGAAUAAUCAUCAUUUUCCUAAUUAUUCUUCGGCUUCAAAACCAAAAAUUGGCAGGUCAUGGUGGCUCACACCUGCACUCCCAGCACUUUGGGAGGCCUCAGGUAGAUCACCUAAGGUCAGGAGUUAGAGACCAGCCUGGCCAACAUGGCGAAACCCCAUCUCUACUAAAAAUACAAAAAUUAGCUGGGCGUGGUGGCGUGUGCUUGUAAUCCCAGCUACUGGGGAGGCUGAGGCAGGAGAAUCACUUGAACACGGGAGGUGGAGGUUGCAGUGAGCCGAGAUCGCGCCACUGCACGCCAGCCUGGGUGACGAGAGUGAAACUCCAUCUCAAAAAAAAAAACCCAACAAUUACACUUUUAAAAAACAAUAAAUUUCUUUCCUUUUUUUUUUUUUUUUUUUUUUCUGAGACAAGAUCUCACUCUGUCACCCAGGCUGGAGUACAGUAGUGCAGUCACGGCUCACUGCAGCCUUGGCCUCCCAGGCUUAAGCAAUCCUCCCACCUCAGCCUCCCAAGAAGUUGGGACCACAGGCACGCUUGGCUAAUUUUUUAAUUUUUUUGUAGAGACAGGAUCUCACUAUGUUGCCCAGGCUGGUCUCAAACUCCUGGCCUCGAGUAAUCCUCCUCCGUUGACCUCCCAAAGCAUGAGCCAACGUACCUGGCCAAAAAAAAUAAAUUUCAAUUGUAUUUUAUUUAUUUAUUUAUUUAAUAUUUUUUUGAGACAGAGUCUUAUUCUGUCGCCCAGGCUGGAGUGCAGUGGCCCAAUCUCGGCUCCCCGGGUUCUAGCGAUUCUUCUGCCUCAGCCUCCUGAGUAGCUGGGACUACACGCCCGCGCCACCAUGCCCAGCUAAUUUUUGUAUU